Molecule: ribosomal RNA, 470 nt
Filed under: uncultured Methanomicrobiales archaeon
Lineage: Archaea; Methanobacteriati; Methanobacteriota; Methanomicrobia; Methanomicrobiales
Description: bacterial SSU rRNA
Rfam family: Archaeal small subunit ribosomal RNA
Source: RNAcentral
AGACGGGGAGCACACAACAGGUGGAGCCUGCGGUUUAAUCGGACUCAACGCCGGGAAACUCACCAGAUAAGACAGCUGAAUGAUAGUCGGGCUGAAGACUCUACUUGACUAGCUGAGAGGAGGUGCAUGGCCGUCGUCAGUUCGUACUGUAAGCAUCCUGUUAAGUCAGGCAACGAGCGAGACCCACGCCAACAGUUGCCAGCUCGUCCUCCGGGAUGGUGGGGACACUGUUGGGACCGCCUCUGCUAAAGAGGAGGAAGGAAUGGGCAACGGUAGGUCAGCAUGCCCCGAAUUAUCUGGGCUACACGCGGGCUACAAUGGGUGGGACAAUGGGUAUCGACACCGAAAGGUGAAGGCAAUCUCCUAAACCCAUCCGUAGUUCGGAUUGUGGGCUGCAACUCGCCCACAUGAAGCUGGAAUCUGUAGUAAUCGUGUCUCAAAAUGGCACGGUGAAUAUGUCCCUGCUCCUU